RNAcentral lists this transfer RNA (75 nucleotides) under Pseudomonadota bacterium. RNAcentral's name for it is "tRNA-Cys". It matches the Rfam family "tRNA". Rfam says of the family: Transfer RNA (tRNA) molecules are approximately 80 nucleotides in length. Their secondary structure includes four short double-helical elements and three loops (D, anti-codon, and T loops). The record is from RNAcentral. RNAcentral also lists the same sequence under 1 other name. Lineage: Bacteria; Pseudomonadati; Pseudomonadota.
GGCGACGUACCCAAGGGGUAAGGGAGAGGUCUGCAAAACCUUUAUUCGCCGGUUCGAGUCCGGCCGUCGCCUCCA